Molecule: long non-coding RNA, 634 nt
Filed under: Homo sapiens (human)
Lineage: Eukaryota; Metazoa; Chordata; Mammalia; Primates; Hominidae
Description: HSALNT0400832
Source: RNAcentral
AAUGACGUCAGCAUCCGCCGGGCUCGCGGUAAGGUGUGAGGGGAGGGACAAUCUUGGUAGAACGGUGACAUGGGCGCCAGGAGGCGCUGUGGAGACCGAGGAGAAGAGAAGACAGUGUAACCACACCUGAACAGACCCUUUUUCAAGACUCCCUGCUGGCAUGUAGUUCAGAAGACAAACUAAUGAAUCUGUCACAGAAUGUUGGAAGAAUGACUAGCCCUUGGCCUAAAGGUAAGUUUUCACUCUGCCAGGUCUCCCCCUGGUGAAGAUGUAUAAUGGGGAACCUGAUCUGGGGGGAUUAGGGAAGGGUAAACUCUGAAGGAAGACAUUAGAAGGAAAAGAGGGAGGUGAAGGUGGGAGAUAACAUUUAGGGAAAUGAAACCAUGUGGGCUAAUGGUAAGGAAUGAAGCCACCAGAGGGGAAGCACGGGAGAAUCAUGCUGAAGAGUUUGCUUCUUAUCCAGGGGUAGGGGAAGCCAUCAGGUUUGCAUCUUAGAAGGAUCAUGCUUGCUGCUAUUUGGGGGACUGGAUCAGAAUGGGGGACUAGUUAAAAGGCUGUUAAAGUCAUUUAGGUGAGAGUUGGUGAGGGCACUGAAGAUGCAGAAAACUGGAUUCAACAGUUCUUUUUUUUUUUU